CUGAUUCUUUACCACUGAACCACCAGGGAAGCCACUAUACUCAAACUUUUGAAUGUUUUGUUUCUUUGGGAUUUGCUUCCAAUUAAUCUCAGUAAAUAUGCCGCCAAUUUUCCAGCCUAGCCAAACCCAAGAGCAGGUCAUAAUUGUAAGGAUUUGGCACCUACAAUUCUAACUAUCAAACUGCACCCCUUUUGUAGGGUAUUGUGACCUGGAAUGUUACUGAGGCUUUGCUUGACGGACAAAUUAUAUCAAACUGGGUGAAGAUGGACAUGUAAGAGAAGGCAGAAGAGGCUUCCUUGGCUUAGAACAGCAAACACAUUUGUGGAUACAAAACGCAUUGUGCAGUGUGUUGAAGUUAUUGAUGACCAGCCACAGUUCAUCAGCACACUUUAGGGAAGUAUAGCCCUUUUUAAAAUAAAUAAAAAAUAAAUACAAUAUCACUUUCUUUCACCUGUACUCCAAAAAUAAUUUUUUUGAAUUGGAGAGAGAGAAUGAAUUAGAGAUACUUCACCAGGAAUUAUAGAGUCCAGAGAGUAUGUCAAACAUGUGAAUUUCAUGUCUGUCACCAGGAGGAAAUGGUUCAGAAAGCUGGUCUUCAAGUACCCAGAGACCUGGGCAAUCUUUGAAAAUGAAGACUCAGGUGGUAACUAUAGCUACUUCUUAGAUGGCAUCCUCUUGCUCCUGGAUUUCACAAAUGAAAACUUCUAAGUCCUGAGCAUCUUGGUUACCCCCACCCCGCAAAAUGAAUCAUCACGCAGACCUUCUGGCCCCAUAAGUUUCAUGAUUAUGGCCUGGGAGUCAGAACAUGUUAGGAACCCUUUGCUUGGGCAAGUAAUUAUUCACUUUUUAAUCACAGCUACUUAAUCACAGCUUGACAAACAUUCUCACUUGCUUCGGGGGCUGUUUCUGCUCAGAUCGUCCUGCCAAAAGAGACGCUGCCUCUGUGCAUGAGUACUUGUUCAGUUAAUUAAGGAGAGAGCUCUGCUCGUCAGUGAAGGGAGAAGGGAGCCCAAGCGCAUGGAAGGACUUUUAACCAUCAGACUAGCUGCACACAGCUCUGGUGGAGCUCCGGUUGGAACACUGUUGACAUCUGCUCCCUGUCUGCAAACUGUGCUGUGGAGCAGGGCUGAGCCCAGGCUGCUGUGGGGUCCAUCAUCUUCCAAAAGCAAGGGCAGCAGUGGGGGCCUCUGGCCUCCAAGUCCCUGCAAGAUGAGCGAGUACAGAUGACUGAUGGGGCCAGGCUGUCAAGAGCAAGCUGAGAUUCGAGCAGAGGAUGCCGGAUCUUGCCAGCAAUCCUGUCAGCGUUACCUCUUUCCCUCCAUCCAGACCUCAAUGUCACUGGGGCUGUGGAUGGAUCUUGUCUGCUCUGUACAGGAAAAGAUCAUGUCUUGGCUACUGCAGCAUGGACUACUGAGUCUUCUACCUCGAAGGAAGGUCAUGACAUUGGAAGAGGGCUUUGGAGGAGGAGGAAGACUUACCUUGGACAUUGCUCAAAGCUGUUCGGUAAUGCGUUGCUGCAACUGCUCAACAAGAAGCUUCCCUAAAGCUGUUGCUGAUUCAUUUCCAAAGACAAAACAACUGUCUUUCCUCUACUUGUGGGUCAGGAGCCACUACGUUACUUGCCCUCCAUAGCAUAGUCAACGUGGCAUGUCAUGAGCUAGAAAUGAUUAUUGCGAAACUAUGAGGAGUCCAUAUUUAAUUAGGUAUAAAUUCUGAGAACAAAUUUGUACUAUAUUUGGCGGGGGGGGGGGCGCAGAAAUGAAGGCUCUGAUCUACAAGAAAGCGUGAAUACAGUAACUGCAUUCUAAUGUGAUGGGCUUCCGCAGUGGCUCAGCAGUAAAGAAUCUGCCUGCAAUGCAGGAGAUACUGGUUUGAUCCCUGGGUCUGGAAGAUCCCCUGGAGAAGGGCAUGGCAACCCACUCCAGUAUUCUUGCCUGGAGAAUUCCAUGGACAGAGGGAUCUGGCAGGCUAUGGUCCAUGGGGUCGCAAAGACUUGGAUACAGUUGAAGUGACUGAGCAUGCAUGCACAUUCUGAUGUGAUAGAAAAGAAACUACAGACAGUCCCAACAGAAAUUUAAUAUUUUCUUCUUUUUAUAUAUUUCAUAUGAGUCCAAAGUACAUUUGUGUAUCUCAAGUCCUACCCUGUGAGGUAGGAAGAGAAAGAAGGAAUAAUCUUUAUUAGCAUAAGAAAAGCCAAGGGGAGGGAUGAGGUUAAGCUGAAUGAUUUCUUUGAAUAUCUUCAAAUCCAGUCUCUGACUUCUUUUUCCAAGAUGCCUUCAAUAUCCCCAAGGUCCACUGCGUUUCUCAAGACCCUGACAUUCACAUUUCACUCACUCACCUCUGAGCCGUAUUUUCAGCUCUGUUUGUACUUUCUCUCCCGCUGUAUCUCUGCUGGUGGCUAGGCUGAUCAAGAUUGUUCUAGGGGCUGAGUGCAUAUUUGUCUAGGCUUCUCUCAUUGGCUAAAAGACAAGCAGAUGUUAUUCUGCUCAUUCUCCCUAGGUAGGCAGCAGCAGAGUUAAGGAAAUAAGCAGGGCAGGAGGGGCUCUUGGGUUGCUCAAUGGGGUCACCUGUCAGGCAAAGACAGAAGUGAUUGACAUCUUAAGGACGUCAGGAACGCAAAAGUCCCAGAGAGAGUUUUGGGCAUGUUCAUUUUCCUGUGAGCCUGAGAGUUGUAUACACCCUGAUCAUCACCAUCAGCAAGUUGUUCGCUUCUUCUCCUGUACCAGGCGCUGCAUUUGGCACAAGAAGAAAAAAAAAAAAAAAUACAGAAAGGCACAGACAGUCCCCAGCUUGUGAUCUGGGUGUGUUCCAAACUCAUCUGUUGCAUUUUUCCAAGAGGCAUUGUUAUAAAUGGGGGUGGGGGAGGAUGUUCUCAGAUGAACCAAAAGCAAAAAAUAAAAAUCUAUUUAAUAUACA
Molecule: non-coding RNA, 2916 nt
Organism: Odocoileus virginianus texanus
Lineage: Eukaryota; Metazoa; Chordata; Mammalia; Artiodactyla; Cervidae
Source: RefSeq, a predicted model, not a curated record